RNAcentral lists this non-coding RNA (21 nucleotides) under Arabidopsis thaliana (thale cress). Lineage: Eukaryota; Viridiplantae; Streptophyta; Magnoliopsida; Brassicales; Brassicaceae. The record is from RNAcentral.
CGGCAGUAAAGAGAUGACGGU